GCUGGGUGUGGUGGUGCACACUGGUGGUCCCAGCUACUUGGGAGGCUGAGACAGGAGGAUUGCUUGAGCCCAGGAGUUCAAGGCUGCAAUGAGUUAUGAUUGUGCCACUGCACUCCAGCCUGGGCAACAGAGCAGGACCCUGUCUCAA
This is a non-coding RNA of Gorilla gorilla gorilla (western lowland gorilla), 148 nucleotides long. It matches the Rfam family "Metazoan signal recognition particle RNA". From Rfam's summary of the family: The signal recognition particle (SRP) is a universally conserved ribonucleoprotein. It is involved in the co-translational targeting of proteins to membranes. The eukaryotic SRP consists of a 300-nucleotide 7S RNA and six proteins: SRPs 72, 68, 54, 19, 14, and 9. NCBI's taxonomy places the organism in Eukaryota, Metazoa, Chordata, Mammalia, Primates, Hominidae. The record is from Rfam.